UAGGGAAUCUUCCGCAAUGGGCGAAAGCCUGACGGAGCAACGCCGCGUGAGUGAUGAAGGUCUUCGGAUCGUAAAACUCUGUUAUUAGGGAAGAACAAAUGCGUAAGUAACUAUGCACGUCUUGACGGUACCUAAUCAGAAAGCCACGGCUAACUACGUGCCAGCAGCCGCGGUAAUACGUAGGUGGCAAGCGUUAUCCGGAAUUAUUGGGCGUAAAGCGCGCGUAGGCGGUUUUUUAAGUCUGAUGUGAAAGCCCACGGCUCAACCGUGGAGGGUCAUUGGAAACUGGAGAACUUGAGUGCAGAAGAGGAAGGUGGAAUUCCAUGUGUAGCGGUGAAAUGCGCAGAGAUCUGGAGGAACACCAGUGGCGAUGGCGACUUUCUGGUCUGUAACUGACGCUGAUGUGCGAAAGCGUGGGGAUCAAACAGG
Molecule: ribosomal RNA, 429 nt
Filed under: Actinomycetes bacterium
Lineage: Bacteria; Bacillati; Actinomycetota; Actinomycetes
Description: Actinobacteria bacterium partial 16S ribosomal RNA
Rfam family: Bacterial small subunit ribosomal RNA
Source: RNAcentral